This 368-nucleotide unclassified non-coding RNA is filed under the name Hevea brasiliensis (rubber tree). Lineage: Eukaryota; Viridiplantae; Streptophyta; Magnoliopsida; Malpighiales; Euphorbiaceae. The record is from RNAcentral.
AGAGAUGGUUUCUGUUGCUGUUCUGGUUGUUGUUGUUGUUGUUGCUGCAGUUGCUUUUGUUCCUUGGAAGCAAAGGAGAGUAUUUCAUUUUCUGGGGCUGGAAGAUUGAGAUCCAAAUCCAAGGAAAGUAGGUUUCUUGCUUUCUUGGGUUCCUCUGAUUCUUUAGCCAUUGGUGCUAAUGACAAGGUUGUGCGAGUAUUAGCCCCUAUUGGUGUCCGAUGCCGCCUCAUAUGGCCGCCCAAGGCUUGGCCGGAUGUGAACUCAGCCCCACAAACGGAACACUCAUGAAUCUUGGUUUUGUUUUGAUUGCUGCUGCUAUACAUACCUCUAUUGUUAUUAUUAUUACUCAAUUGAAGAGAAAGAGAAGA